CCUGGGAAACUGGGUCUAAUACCGGAUAUGACUCCUCAUCGCAUGGUGGGGGGUGGAAAGCUUUAUUGUGGUUUUGGAUGGACUCGCGGCCUAUCAGCUUGUUGGUGAGGUAAUGGCUUACCAAGGCGACGACGGGUAGCCGGCCUGAVAGGGKGACCGGC
This 161-nucleotide ribosomal RNA is filed under the name Actinomycetales bacterium TLI162. RNAcentral's name for it is "partial 16S ribosomal RNA". It matches the Rfam family "Bacterial small subunit ribosomal RNA", at positions 148 to 308 of the family's 1533-position model. The record is from RNAcentral. Lineage: Bacteria; Bacillati; Actinomycetota; Actinomycetes; Actinomycetales.